CCUCACCCUUAGCUUGGAGGCUUUACAGUGCCUUGGCAGAUACACACUGGCCUUGGGGUUAAGCUUGUAGAAAGCCCAUGUCAACAGAGGGAAACACUGUGACCACCUGUGUACUUUGGCUGCAAUAGUGUGUACACAACAAGUGCAUACAAAGGCCUGGGAAAAGCACAGGAAAGCAAAAGUUGAGUGGUUUCAACUUGAUUACAUGCUUGAGGCACAGCACUCACUUAAGAUGUGUUUCCAGAGCUCAAGGGCCCUAAGCCAUCAAGAGGCCCCCAUUACUGGGACAAUGUGCAUUCUAUGCUAUUGGUAAAACAGGUAUCUGCAAAACUAUCUGAAGGAUGAAGACAUGUCCUGGCAAAAUUACUUUGUGGAAGCUUCAAAGUCAGCUAUCAUUUGUGGAAAAUCCAGGCAACUCCUUCUCAUGGUGAUAAUAGGUGCACAAGAUUUCUCGGGGCCUAGACACUGGUAUACCACCACGUCUGCCUUAUUUUAGCCUCCAGUUAGUCGUGUGUCUAGUCCUGUAUGAGAUUAUAAGUACACCACAGAGACAUGGGGGCAUGGAAGAAUUGACAUCAAUACAAUCUACUAGAAUGGUAAGUUUGGAAACAGAACUAUAAGUGGUGAUGACAUUUACACUUAAUGGCAUCUAAGUUUUUGGUAAUGGGAGAAGACUAUGAAAUUUAAUUUUUAUUUGGACACAAGGAAAGUCACACAGACACACAAAAAAAGAUCUCUCUUUGAAUGUUUACAGGGGACAAUGGCUUACCUUAAUUAAAGGAAAUCUAAAAGGGAUCUGUGGUAAAUUAAAACCACUAUGUAAGUCUAAAUUAGAAAGCCAUUUAAUAUUAAGGUAAUGUGCUGGUUAUCCUUCCAUUGUAGAUCCAUUUUCCACCUUCUCAUCUCUAUACUGCAGGCAACUGUUCUGCCUGGAUUGUUCUCCAUUGGUCACCAGGUUCUAUUUGGAUUCAGCCAAUAAUGAAGCACUAGGAGUAAGGUCUGGGGUUUAUUCUCCAGGUUUCUUCCCUGAAGAUUGAGUCUUGCUACACUAGGCCAUAGCACCUGUAAGGCAGCCCUCUGCAUAUGUUGCCACUUUAGGUUCUGGUAGUUUCUUCUUCCUCUUGCCUUUUCAGGAUUAGGGGUAGUAAGGCUUUCCAUUUCCACUAGCCUUAAUGCCUUAAUGUCCUAUAUUCCAUUUAAUUGGUUUCCUAACACACUGCUCACACUUGGUAUAAUUUUUCUAAACGUGCCUCAGUAGUCCAAUUUGAGUGUGUCACCUGCUUCCUGUUAGGACUCUGAUUAAUCUAGUUAAGGAUUUGGGACCUCAUUUAGUAAGCAAUGAGAAACAAAGCAUUAGGAGAGGUCUAUAAAUGGAACUGUGUUGUGGGAAGGUUAAUAUGAAAGCCACAAAGAGAGAGCAUUAUAGAAGGCAGCAGAGCACACAGGAGACUCACAACUGUCCAGAUGAUAGGGCAUGAGGGCCAACACCAGAGGUAGUGCUGUGGGCAUGGAAAGGAAGAAUGGGUGCAAAAGCAACUGUGGGAACAGAAUGGAUCAGUAUCACAGCAUUUGGUAGCAGUUAGAUGGUCAGGAUGAAAGAGCAUGAUAUUUCCAAAAUUUUCAGCCUUGAGAGCUAGGAGAUGAGUAAUACCAUUAAGAACAACCAGGGAUCAAACCAGGGAUCACAAAAGGAUACAAUGUUCUGUUUUUGACAUUUGGAAUUUUCCAUGUGAUGUUCAGUGUCCUAUAUAUAAUUGGAAAUGUUGAACUUGGGAGAUAGAUCAGGCCUGGGAAUAAUUUGGAGGUUGUCCACAGAGAUUCAACAGUAAUCAGUUUGAGGUGCAGGGAAAGAAGCAGAUACAAAGAAGGGAGAAACAAAAUACAUGGUCUAAGCUUGGUUUGGAAAUACAGUUUCUGAGACUAGGAGGAGGAAGGGAGGAGAGUGGCAGAUAAACAAACUGAAACAAAAGAGUCUGUGUAUUUCAACCCUUUAGUAAACUUUUUUUGAGAAACUAAAUUUUUGUGGAUUAGGAAGUUUGUUACUUUGUUUUUGUUUUAUUUUGAGGGCCAAGCCUCCUAGCGUGGGUUUUGGUUUCUCUCAUGAAGAUCUUGGGCCUGGGGUGCCACUUAUUUUUAAAAAGUGCAAACAUUUCUUAUUUUGCUUUUAGACCUUUAUCAUUUGAUCCCUUACAAAUGUAAGAUCUUUUGAUUAAGUGUUCUAUUUUGUUUUUAAAAUACUUUCACACUCAAGGACAAAUAAGCUACAGGAACAAAAAGUGUAUUAGCAAUCCAUGUCCAUGCAAUUCAUAAUACCUUCUGAGUAUCGUUGCUAUUAAUCUUGCUUUCUUGCCUAUAUCCUUUAUGGACUUUAUGUUAAUCAAUGAUUAUAUUCCCAUAUAAAAGAAAUCUAGGUCAAUGGAACUUUAUGUUUAUCAGAGGAAUAGUCGUUUGAACAUCAGUUCUUUAGAGAAUUCACUUGCGUAGUGAAUUAAGCCUUCUAAUUCAUUCAUUUUGAAUACUUCCCUAUCUAUAGACAUUUUUAGAAUUGGAUUUUCUUAAAUUAAGGCACACACUUUUUAUUGGACUUUUAACUCACCUGAGACAGCGUAGAGGCAGCAGUUUGAAAAGCACCUGUAGCUUAUGUGAGGGAGAUUGUUGACUAAUAUUAUGACAGGUGCUAUAGGCUGGGAUUUCCCUGGGAACACAAGAGAUGGCAGGAACCCUUUCUUUUCUUUCUUUCUUCCAGACUAGAGAGCCAGAAAUUUGAAGUUUGCAAGAGCCAGUGUUAAUGCUAUCUUACUAGCAUCACAGCACUGUCCUUAUUCCCCUGUGAACCAUCCCCAUGGAACCUGCCCACCUUGGCAGGCAUCUAUCCAAAGCAGCUUUUGCUAAGACACACCAGGCAAGCAGCUCCCUUGCUCCAUCAGUCAGACUGAUGCCAUUCUAAGUGACUCCUGUCCAGGCAAUGGGGGAAGACAUAGCCACACAUCAGCACCCCUACAGUUCCUACAGCCAAACCUCUUAGCUGGCUGUGCAGGGAGCUGGUCUGGCCCUUCAGUGUGCCUGCAGAGACAGUUAUGCUGACUGCUGCCUCUCUACCUAAUGAGCCUAUGGAUGCUUCAGAUAGGCCUCUCAAUAGGGCAAGGAGCAACUUCUGCCCAAGGUGCCCAUAGUAGGUAAAGCAGGUGACUGUAACCAACUAAGUUGAAGGCAACUGCAGCUCAGUCACAUAGGAGGGCACACCUGAAGCACCUGGUUCUGAUGACCAGGGGGUAUUGUGCUACAGGGCCCCAAAGGACUUCUUGUGUAUGAGGCCCAUUUUCAAGACCAAAAGAUAUAGGUGACCUACCUAGUACAUAGAAACAACACAGAGAGACCAAUGGAGGAGACAGAGAAUAAUUCCCAAAUGAAAGAACAAGACAAAAUAAAAAAGAGCUAAGUGAAAUGGAGAUAGGCA
Molecule: long non-coding RNA, 3457 nt
Organism: Vulpes vulpes (red fox)
Lineage: Eukaryota; Metazoa; Chordata; Mammalia; Carnivora; Canidae
Source: Ensembl